This 465-nucleotide ribosomal RNA is filed under the name Exiguobacterium sp. '7.3 MW-4'. RNAcentral describes it as "bacterial SSU rRNA". It matches the Rfam family "Bacterial small subunit ribosomal RNA", at positions 37 to 476 of the family's 1533-position model. Lineage: Bacteria; Bacillati; Bacillota; Bacilli; Caryophanales. The record is from RNAcentral.
UGGCGGCGUGCCUAAUACAUGCAAGUCGAGCGCAGGAAAUCGACGGAACCCUUCGGGGGGAAGUCGACGGAAUGAGCGGCGGACGGGUGAGUAACACGUAAAGAACCUGCCCUCAGGUCUGGGAUAACCACGAGAAAUCGGGGCUAAUACCGGAUGGGUCAUCGGACCGCAUGGUCCGAGGAUGAAAGGCGCUUCGGCGUCGCCUGGGGAUGGCUUUGCGGUGCAUUAGCUAGUUGGUGGGGUAAUGGCCCACCAAGGCGACGAUGCAUAGCCGACCUGAGAGGGUGAUCGGCCACACUGGGACUGAGACACGGCCCAGACUCCUACGGGAGGCAGCAGUAGGGAAUCUUCCACAAUGGACGAAAGUCUGAUGGAGCAACGCCGCGUGAACGAUGAAGGCCUUCGGGUCGUAAAGUUCUGUUGUAAGGGAAGAACAAGUGCCGCAUGCAUGGCGGCCUUGACAGU